UAUCGGGUAAAGCGAAUGAUU
RNAcentral lists this unclassified non-coding RNA (21 nucleotides) under Chlamydomonas reinhardtii. RNAcentral's name for it is "small RNA Cre_2375". The record is from RNAcentral. Lineage: Eukaryota; Viridiplantae; Chlorophyta; Chlorophyceae; Chlamydomonadales; Chlamydomonadaceae.